This 148-nucleotide non-coding RNA is filed under the name Homo sapiens (human). Lineage: Eukaryota; Metazoa; Chordata; Mammalia; Primates; Hominidae. The record is from Rfam by way of RNAcentral.
GCCGGGCAUGGUGGUGCGUGCCUGUAGUCCCAGCUACUCAGGAGGCUGAGGCAGGAGAAUUGCUUGAACCCAGGACGCCGAGGUUGCAGUGAGCCAAGAUUGCACCACUGCACUCCAGCCUGGGCGACACAGCAAGAAUCAGUCUCCA